This 478-nucleotide ribosomal RNA is filed under the name uncultured bacterium. RNAcentral describes it as "partial 16S ribosomal RNA". It matches the Rfam family "Bacterial small subunit ribosomal RNA", at positions 28 to 507 of the family's 1533-position model. The record is from RNAcentral.
GAUGAACGCUGGCGGCGUGCUUAACACAUGCAAGUCGAACGGGAAACCUUUUAUUGAAGCUUCGGCAGAUUUCGCUGGUUUCUAGUGGCGGACGGGUGAGUAACGCGUGGGUAACCUGCCUUAUACAGGGGGAUAACAACCAGAAAUGGUUGCUAAUACCGCAUAAGCGCACAGGACCGCAUGGUCCGGUGUGAAAAACUCCGGUGGUAUAAGAUGAACCCGCGUUGGAUUAGCUAGUUGGCAGGGUAACGGCCUACCAAGGCGACGAUCCGUAGCCGGCCUGAGAGGGUGAACGGCCACAUUGGGACUGAGACACGGCCCAGACUCCUACGGGAGGCAGCAGUGGGGAAUAUUGCACAAUGGGGGAAACCCUGAUGCAGCGACGCCGCGUGAAGGAAGAAGUAUCUCGGUAUGUAAACUUCUAUCAGCAGGGAAGAUAGUGACGGUACCUGACUAAGAAGCCCCGGCUAACUACGUG